UACGUAGGGGACAAGCGUUGUCCGGAUUUAUUGGGCGUAAAGAGCGUGUAGGCGGCCAGGUAGGUCUGCUGUGAAAACUCGAGGCUCAACCUCGAGAUGUCGGCGGAAACCAUCUGGCUAGAGUCCGGAAGAGGAGAAUGGAAUUCCCGGUGUAGCGGUGAAAUGCGCAGAUAUCGGGAAGAACACCCGUGGCGAAGGCGGUUCUCUGGGACGGUACUGACGCUGAGACGCGAAAGCGUGGGGAGCGAACAGG
RNAcentral lists this ribosomal RNA (253 nucleotides) under uncultured bacterium. RNAcentral's name for it is "partial 16S ribosomal RNA". It matches the Rfam family "Bacterial small subunit ribosomal RNA", at positions 524 to 776 of the family's 1533-position model. The record is from RNAcentral.